UACGUAGGGUGCAAGCGUUAAUCGGAAUUACUGGGCGUAAAGCGUGCGCAGGCGGCUAUGCAAGACAGAUGUGAAAUCCCCGGGCUUAACCUGGGAACUGCAUUUGUGACUGCAUGGCUAGAGUACGGUAGAGGGGGAUGGAAUUCCGCGUGUAGCAGUGAAAUGCGUAGAUAUACGGAGGAACACCGAUGGCGAAGGCAAUCCCCUGGACCUGUACUGACGCUCAUGCACGAAAGCGUGGGGAGCAAACAGG
RNAcentral lists this ribosomal RNA (253 nucleotides) under uncultured bacterium. Its description in RNAcentral is "partial 16S ribosomal RNA". It matches the Rfam family "Bacterial small subunit ribosomal RNA", at positions 524 to 776 of the family's 1533-position model. The record is from RNAcentral.